GACGAACGCUGGCGGCGUGCUUAACACAUGCAAGUAGAACGCAGUUGCGAACGGGUGAGUAACGCGUAGGUAACUGCCUGGUAGCGGGGGAUAACUAUUGGAAACGAUAGCUAAUACCGCAUCCUACCAGAUGGACCUGCGUUGUAUUAGGUAGUUGGUGGGGUAACGGCUUACCAAGGCGACGAUACAUAGCCGACCUGCGAGGGGGGUCGGCCACACUGGGACCGAGACACGGCCCAGACUCCCACGGGAGGCAGCAGUAGGGAAGUUUCGGCAAUGGACGGAAGUCCGACCGAGCAACGCCGAGGGAGUGAAGAAGGGUUUCGGAUCGUAAAGCUCUGUUGUAAGAGAAGCGGUAUCUUACCAGAAAGGGACGGCUAACUACGUGCCAGCAGCCGCGGUAAUUC
Molecule: ribosomal RNA, 407 nt
Filed under: uncultured bacterium
Lineage: Bacteria
Description: partial 16S ribosomal RNA
Rfam family: Bacterial small subunit ribosomal RNA
Source: RNAcentral